This 71-nucleotide transfer RNA is filed under the name Candidatus Omnitrophota bacterium. Its description in RNAcentral is "tRNA-Gly". It matches the Rfam family "tRNA". From Rfam's summary of the family: Transfer RNA (tRNA) molecules are approximately 80 nucleotides in length. Their secondary structure includes four short double-helical elements and three loops (D, anti-codon, and T loops). RNAcentral also lists the same sequence under 1 other name. The record is from RNAcentral. Lineage: Bacteria; Pseudomonadati; Candidatus Omnitrophota.
GCGGGUAUAAGUUAGUGGUAGACUAUCUCGUUGCCAACGAGAAAACGCGAGUUCGAUUCUCGCUACCCGCA